RNAcentral lists this non-coding RNA (495 nucleotides) under Roseburia sp. CAG:18. Its description in RNAcentral is "Bacterial large subunit ribosomal RNA". It matches the Rfam family "Bacterial large subunit ribosomal RNA", at positions 1 to 502 of the family's 2925-position model. The record is from Rfam by way of RNAcentral. Lineage: Bacteria; Bacillati; Bacillota; Clostridia; Lachnospirales; Lachnospiraceae.
AAUCAAGCAAAAAAGAGCGCAGGGUGGAUGCCUUGGCACUAAGAGCCGAAGAAAGACGUGAUAAGCUGCGAAAAGCUGCGGGGAGAUGCAAAUAAUCUUUGAUCCGCAGAUGUCUGAAUGGGGAAACCCGGCUGGAAGGACUCCAGUCAUCCAUACGCCAAUCCAUAACGUAUGGAAGGGAACCCGGUGAACUGAAACAUCUAAGUAGCCGGAGGAAGAGAAAGAAACAUCGAUUUCCAGAGUAGCGGCGAGCGAAAUGGAAAGAGGCCAAACCGUUGUGCGUGCACAGCGGGGUUCGGACCGCAUAAUUGAUUCAGUGAUUCUAGCAGAAAGGUUUUGGGAAAGCCUGCCGGAGAGGGUGAAAGCCCCGUAAGCGAAAGGAAAACUGACAAGGCGGGAUCCAGAGUACUGCGAGACACGUGGAACCUUGCAGGAAGUCGGGGGGACCACCCCCCAAGGCUAAAUACUCCUUAGUGACCGAUAGCGCAUAGUACU